CUAGAGCAUAGCUUGCCUUUUUUUUUUUUUUUGCUUUUGCUACACUUGUCCUGAUUCUGUGUUUGGAAUGCCCCUUCUCACCAGCCCCGCCAAGUCCAGCUCAAAUCUCACCUCUGCCAUGAAGCCUUCUCUGACCAGUGCUUUUAUGGAAAGAACUCCAGGAACCUGGGAGGUGAAGGAAAUGAUCCAGUCUCUGCUUGCAGACUACCUGACCUCCUUCCAGACUCCUGGCCGCCUCUCUCCAGGCUUCCGGCAGCUCUGGGGGCAGCAGACCCUGUAACUUCUGCGGCAACCUGCAGCUGGGCGGGCUGCGAACGAGC
RNAcentral lists this long non-coding RNA (320 nucleotides) under Microcebus murinus (gray mouse lemur). RNAcentral's name for it is "lncRNA (ENSMICG00000048667.1)". The record is from RNAcentral. Lineage: Eukaryota; Metazoa; Chordata; Mammalia; Primates; Cheirogaleidae.